UAUGAAGAACGCAGCGAAAUGCGAUAAGUAGUGUGAAUUGCAGAAUUCAGUGAAUCAUCGAAUCUUUGAACGCACAUUGCGCCCUUUGGUAUUCCUUAGGGCAUGCCUGUUCGAGCGUCAUUUAAACCUUCAAGCUAAGCUUGGUGUUGGGUGACUGUCCGCUUCACGGCGGACUCGCCUCAAAAUUAUUGGCGGCCGGUACAUUGGCUUCGAGCGCAGCAGAAACGCGAACUCGGGCCCGUCGUAUUGGCUCCCAGAAGCUAUCUUCACAAUUUUGACCUCGGAUCAGGUAGGGAUACCCGCUGAACUUAAGCAUAUCAAUAAGCGGAGGA
This 332-nucleotide unclassified non-coding RNA is filed under the name soil metagenome. Its description in RNAcentral is "partial contains 5.8S ribosomal RNA, internal transcribed spacer 2, and large subunit ribosomal RNA". The stretch from base 2 to 120 matches the Rfam family "5.8S ribosomal RNA", at positions 36 to 154 of the family's 154-position model. The record is from RNAcentral.